UACGUAGGGUCCGAGCGUUGUCCGGAAUUACUGGGCGUAAAGGGCUCGUAGGCGGUCUGUCGCGUCGGUAGUGAAAACUCAGGGCUCAACCCUGAGCGUGCUUUCGAUACGGGCAGACUAGAGGUAUGCAGGGGAGAAUGGAAUUCCUGGUGUAGCGGUGGAAUGCGCAGAUAUCAGGAGGAACACCAAUGGCGAAGGCAGGUCCCUGGGCAGUUACUGACGCUGAGGAGCGAAAGCAUGGGUAGCGAACAGGAUUAGAUA
RNAcentral lists this ribosomal RNA (261 nucleotides) under uncultured prokaryote. RNAcentral describes it as "partial 16S ribosomal RNA". It matches the Rfam family "Bacterial small subunit ribosomal RNA", at positions 524 to 784 of the family's 1533-position model. The record is from RNAcentral.